UAGAUGAAGACGCCAUUGAAGAGUGUGU
Molecule: non-coding RNA, 28 nt
Filed under: Mus musculus (house mouse)
Lineage: Eukaryota; Metazoa; Chordata; Mammalia; Rodentia; Muridae
Source: RNAcentral